Molecule: ribosomal RNA, 563 nt
Filed under: uncultured archaeon
Lineage: Archaea
Description: bacterial SSU rRNA
Rfam family: Archaeal small subunit ribosomal RNA
Source: RNAcentral
AGCCAUUGAUCGGUACGGGUUGUGAGAGCAAGAGCCCGGAGAUGGAUUCUGAGACACGAAUCCAGGCCCUACGGGGCGCAGCAGGCGCGAAAACUUUACAAUGCGAGAAAUCGUGAUAAGGGAACCCCGAGUGCCCGUAAAUUCGGGCUGUCCGCCAGUGUAAAUAACUGGUGAAGAAAGGGCCGGGCAAGACCGGUGCCAGCCGCCGCGGUAAUACCGGCGGCUCGAGUGGUGGCCACUAUUACUGGGCUUAAAGCGUCCGUAGCUGGAUUGUUAAGUCUCUUGGGAAAUCCACCGGCUCAACCGAUGGGCGUUCAGGAGAAACUGGCAAUCUAGGGACCGGGAGAGGUGAGAGGUACUCCAGGGGUAGGAGUGAAAUCCUGUAAUCCUUGGGGGACCACCUGUGGCGAAGGCGUCUCACUAGAACGGCUCCGACAGUGAGGGACGAAAGCUGGGGGAGCAAACCGGAUUAGAUACCCGGGUAGUCCCAGCUGUAAACGAUGCGCGUUAGGUGUAUCGGUGACCACGAGUCAUCGAGGUGCCGAAGGGAAACCGUGAAACGU